GGAGAAAGAAAAGGAGCCAUUACCUUGAAAAUCCCCCCAUUGGGGUUCCUGUAGCAAGGGAUGAUGGGGGCAUCCCUUGAACAUCUUCCCUAUUCUGCCUGGCAGGAAUAGGUGCCUGGCGUAUGGUCCCAGAGAAAGGGAGCCAUUACCUUGAAAAUCCCCCCAUUGGGGUUCCUGUAGCAAGGGAUGAUGGGGGCAUCCCUUGAACAUCUUCCCUAUUCUGCCUGGCAGGAAUAGGUGCCUGGCGUAUGGUCCCCAGGAGAGAAAAGGAGAAAGAAAAGGAGCCAUUACCUUGAAAAUCCCCCCAUUGGGGUUCCUGUAGCAAGGGAUGAUGGGGGCAUCCCUUGAACAUCUUCCCUAUUCUGCCUGGCAGGAAUAGGUGCCUGGCGUAUGGUCCCCAGGAGAGAAAAGGACAAAGACAGUGAGAAAGAGAAAGACAGUGAGGAAUUUUCCGCCAGUCUGGGGGACAUUCUACCCAAUUGCAUCCUGGAGCCAUUCUCCCAAGAAGGGGUUCCCAUACUCCACCAAAGGUUAGAGUUUGGUACUUCCCUUGAACUGGAGUCCCGAGUGGGACUUUCCUCGCAGUUCAGAGCGUGGUCAGGUGCCAGAGGGAGGGAUCCCAAUCCAGCCUUAGGAAAAGAAACCUUCCACGGGAGUCUUGGAGAUUGGCGGCCGUCCUAAUGACUUAAGUGGCCGACCCGCGCCCACGUAAAAUUUGUCUAUUAGAGAUAGAGUCAGGAAGGAAUGGAUUAAUUCAUUCUCCAUCACCCUGAGGCUUAAGGUACUGAAUCUCUUCAAGCUGAAUGCCACAAUUUGCCCCAUAGAGUAGCCAUGGGCAGCAAACGUGGAUUCAUACAACCAUCCAAGAAAGUUCCCGAUGGAGCAGUGAAUCUAGAUCCAUCCUUGAAAAAGAGAAAGGCAUAAGGAAGAAAAGGGCACUUACCAGAACUCGAGCUCACAAGCCGAUGAAGCAAGUCCCCGUACGGGC
Molecule: long non-coding RNA, 988 nt
Filed under: Equus caballus (horse)
Lineage: Eukaryota; Metazoa; Chordata; Mammalia; Perissodactyla; Equidae
Description: lncRNA (ENSECAG00000048064.1)
Rfam family: mir-9014 microRNA precursor family (bases 601-688)
Source: RNAcentral